AGGAUAUUAGUUAAAAUUAUAACAUUUAUUUAGCAUUUAAAAAUUAUUUUAUAUAAUAUAUCUUA
Molecule: transfer RNA, 65 nt
Filed under: Polistes humilis (Australian paper wasp)
Lineage: Eukaryota; Metazoa; Arthropoda; Insecta; Hymenoptera; Vespidae
Also listed under: 1 other name
Description: tRNA-Ala
Source: RNAcentral